CGGUCGCAAGAUUAAAACUCAAAUGAAUUGACGGGGGCCCGCACAAGCGGUGGAGCAUGUGGUUUAAUUCGAUGCAACGCGAAGAACCUUACCUACUCUUGACAUCCAGAGAAGCCAGCGGAGACGCAGGUGUGCCUUCGGGAGCUCUGAGACAGGUGCUGCAUGGCUGUCGUCAGCUCGUGUUGUGAAAUGUUGGGUUAAGUCCCGCAACGAGCGCAACCCUUAUCCUUGUUUGCCAGCGAGUAAUGUCGGGAACUCCAGGGAGACUGCCGGUGAUAAACCGGAGGAAGGUGGGGACGACGUCAAGUCAUCAUGGCCCUUACGAGUAGGGCUACACACGUGCUACAAUGGCGCAUACAGAGGGCGGCCAACUUGCAAAAGUGAGCGAAUCCCAAAAAGUGCGUCGUAGUCCGGAUUGGAGUCUGCAACUCGACUCCAUGAAGUCGGAAUCGCUAGUAAUCG
This 462-nucleotide ribosomal RNA is filed under the name Vibrio pectenicida. Its description in RNAcentral is "bacterial SSU rRNA". It matches the Rfam family "Bacterial small subunit ribosomal RNA", at positions 883 to 1344 of the family's 1533-position model. Lineage: Bacteria; Pseudomonadati; Pseudomonadota; Gammaproteobacteria; Vibrionales; Vibrionaceae. The record is from RNAcentral.